UGCUACAGUAUCUACCGGGAAAGCUCGCCCU
RNAcentral lists this non-coding RNA (31 nucleotides) under Mus musculus (house mouse). The record is from RNAcentral. Lineage: Eukaryota; Metazoa; Chordata; Mammalia; Rodentia; Muridae.